Molecule: long non-coding RNA, 767 nt
Organism: Octopus sinensis (East Asian common octopus)
Lineage: Eukaryota; Metazoa; Mollusca; Cephalopoda; Octopoda; Octopodidae
Exons: 2
Source: RefSeq, a predicted model, not a curated record
UUAUGGGUAACAAAUUUCAUAUGACACCGCUAGAAAAACUGCCGUUCAAACCGAAAAGAUCCCAAAGUUGUUUUCUUUUACUAUGAGCUCUGUGUGUUUGUACCUAACCAUUUUUCGGGUGAUCUUAUACGGGGAUGUGUCCUGACUACACCUUCUUCGAAUCACUUGGUGGAAAUGUGAAGGUGAAGUUGUUCACAGAAUUAGACAAAGAAAAAACACUGAACUGAAUCCAACCAGUUAGUAGAGCCAUCUAUUGGAGAAUUAAAAAAAAUACAAUCAUAUAAAGGGAAAUAACUGCUGCAACACUUGAAACAAGCGCCAUUUCAAUUAUCCAUUAAGGUUCUUAAUUACUGACCACUGACUCGUUGUUUAUAUCUGAAUACGAAUAUCACAUCAUGUUGACGUUAAAGAAAUUCCUUCAUUCAGACACGUCUCUGAUAUUUUUAUUGACUUUCAUCAAUUAAAGGAAGACCAUACAUUCAUCAACGCAUCAACUUUUUUGUAUAAAUAAAAUCUUCAACAAAUGAUGGGAAAAUAUUUCUUCUGGACAAUGUAAUUAACAGCAACAUUUACUGGUUUUCGUUAUUUGGAAUGUAGAGGAGAUGAUUCCUUUAAAGUUUGAGGUUGAAUAACUUUAUGAAAGAGUUAACAGUUUACAUUUUCUGUUUUAGAUUUUAAGUAAAAUCACUGAUGAAAGAAAUGUAGCAUUAAUUUUUUCUCUGACAAUUAUGUCACAACUGAACACAAACAUGUUCACAGAAAUGAAA